Molecule: small RNA, 145 nt
Filed under: Arabidopsis thaliana (thale cress)
Lineage: Eukaryota; Viridiplantae; Streptophyta; Magnoliopsida; Brassicales; Brassicaceae
Description: ATSL024530
Source: RNAcentral
UAAUUUCUCAUUAAAAAACUACCUAAUAUAAAAAUAAAUAUAAAUAAAAAGUAAAAAAUAGAGUGAAGAAAGUCUCUCAAGUGAGAAACUAUGAGAAACCUACGAAGACACUUGUUUAUUCUCCAUUGAUCAAAUUUUAUUUUAU